GAUAUACUUAAUUGCUAAGCAAAACGUCGUCGUCUUCAGAUUGAAGUUUGCUCCAGUACAGAAGAAGAGGGAGAGAACGCACACAGCUUGAGGCACGCAGUCAUGCAUGUUCAAACAUGCAUGCAUGCACGCGCACAGCUUCGAGGCGUGCACGCACGUUAUGUUCGACGAUAUGCAGAGAUCUUUUACUAUUAUGUUGUGUUAACUUCAGUGAGAUCAGAUAUAUCACUCGAAGGAAGAGAGUAUACGACUGCAUGAUAUGUAUUUGUGCUCUUUUGUCGUACGUGUAAGUUAUCGUAUUGGCAGUUCUGUAUACCUGGGACGACGUUUUUGCUUUGUCAAAAAUAUAUAUACUUUUAUCGAAUAAAAAAUACGUUACAUAAUUCUAAAAACUUAUAAUUGAAGUUAUAAAAUCGAGAUACGUAGAUUUUAGUUAAAAUUUAAUUUUGUAUUACGAAUUAAAGGUAUAGUCUUGUAGUUGUAAAAGAAGAGGAGCGCAAAAAUAUAAAAUAAGAACUUUUUAGGAGUUUUGACACAAUGUAACCAUUUACGAACCCUGUCCGUCUCGGUUCGGUUCGGCCCACGCAUAGCCAAACUCGUCCGUUGAUGACAUCAUCGAUUUCGUACGCUUACGCAGAACAACCGGAGAAGCGGAGGGGACGACCAACGGCGUUGGCAGUUCUCAUACGAAGAUUCCACUCUUCAGCCAUUUGAGGAAGGCAACGAUCCGGUCAUCCAUUCCUUUUGGAUUUCUAGUGUGGCUCAAAACAGCUAAACAAGUUGAAAAGCAGACACUAGUCACGUCAGUAAUAUUUUUGCAGAAUUCACCAGGAAUCAAAUCCGAUGGUGGAGCAGGCGAUGACCAGAACUGGGCGUGCUUCACCUUGGCUAUGCUGUUGAGGACUCCCAGCGGCGUCACGUCGCCCACCACCGUCACCUUCUUCGACGCGAAGUCGAUCUCAAAAGAUGUAACUCCUAAUGAUGAACCCAAAACAGAAGCGAAGGCAGCGGCGGAAACAGAGCAGGCCUUUGACCCAGCCGGUUCGCUCGUCAACGCUUUCAGCGUCGGCGGGUCUAGUGACACAAGAGGAGCCAACUCCCGCCCUCCUUCCUCUAAGUAAGCGCCGUCGACAAUG
This is a long non-coding RNA of Zingiber officinale, 1136 nucleotides long. RefSeq lists it as uncharacterized. The record is from RefSeq and is a predicted model, not a curated record. NCBI's taxonomy places the organism in Eukaryota, Viridiplantae, Streptophyta, Magnoliopsida, Zingiberales, Zingiberaceae. The transcript is spliced from 5 exons.